This is a long non-coding RNA of Triticum urartu, 1833 nucleotides long. RefSeq lists it as uncharacterized. Lineage: Eukaryota; Viridiplantae; Streptophyta; Magnoliopsida; Poales; Poaceae. The record is from RefSeq and is a predicted model, not a curated record.
CCGAAUCUCAUCCUCCUCCCCCUGAUGUUAUCCUGAACCCCGUGGGAGAAGCGGCAGCCACAGAACAGCCCUGCCUCUCAACCCCAUUCACUCUCCGCCGGACGACGGCGGCGCCGGUGCUGUGCCGCGAGAUGUCCAACAAUGGUGUUGACUGCAAUGGAAUCCUUGGUGUUUACUGCUUCUCUCCAACCUGUGGAAUCGCAGGACUCCAUGAGUGUCGUCAAUGGCCAGAUGGGCGACGGCGGCGCGACCGCACAUCCACGAUGCGUGUUCAUGCGGCGGUGCUGAUUGGUGUUGUCCUACCGGUGAAGUCGCAGGAUUCCAUGGCAUCUCAGAUGACCAGAUGGGCCGCGGUGGCGAGGGCAUAGAGAUGUAUGGGAACACCGGCUUUGCGGCGUGAUCAGAAGCUAUAAGUGGCUGGACAAGGAGAGUGAAGUUUCAUUGAGAGCUAACCUGCCAAUCGAGAGGCAUGCCAAUAAUGUUUACAUCCGGGCGACUUUUGAUCAAUUUAGCUUAGUUAUGUACAUAGCUGGUGCAUAUGUGCUGGACGAACUAGAACUGAACAUAUGUUAGCAUUUGGAUUUUACAGUGUCCAAUUGCUAGUAAUGUACAUAUUUGCUGCAGGUUAAUUAGUUGGUCUAUAGUACGCGGUGGUAACUUGGUUAUCUGCCGCUGACUAAUUAUCUGAUUUGGUUAAUUAGUUGGUCUAUAGUUGGUCUAUAGUGCAUAUCUAUUUCUUUUCAUCUGAUUUGUUUCUAUGCCCUUGGCACGACACUGAACAUCUUUGGGGAGUAAUUUGUUUAGUAUGAGGGACACUUUAGACUGCAGAUUGGUUUUUGGGGAGGCAGGCGAUGAUUAGCCAAACGAAGUGUGAUUUGUGAUGGUAGAAUAAAUUUUUGGGGAGACACUUGUGGUUUUGGGGAUACAGUCAAUGGCAAUGGUGGACUGAACUUUCUGAACAUAUUGUUCACCAGGUUGUUAUUCAAUUUUCAUUUAGUGUUAGUGUGAUUUUAAUCAUGUCCCAAGGUGAUACCAAUUGGACUUUAGCGUAGUGCAGAUGCGGAAGUUGCCAUCUGGGAAUGCAGAUUACGAGAUGAAUGCUAGCCUGCAUUUUGGUUUUGGGAGACAGUAAAUAGUUAGCCAAACUAGUGUAUUUUUCCUGUGAUUUUAAUUUGUCGUUUUGUCUCUCUUAAGACUGGAAAUUCCCCUGUAACUUGAUUAAGAUCCAUUGGAGGAUAUUUUGGGACUAGGGGAUGAAUUGACUUUUAUAUCUGUGGGAGAAAAAUGUUAGCUUUGAUGUGUACUGCUUAAUAUUAAUUUGUUCAAACUGGGACACUUGGUCAUGGAUUUGCCUUUGCUAGGAUCAGAAUGUAUGAGUAUGACCCUUGUUGUAGGAUCUGAUGCAUGCGAUCUGGUGUUAUUUAGGAUUCCAUAUCUUGCAGCACGGUUAUUUCCUUUCACUUGGAUUCACACCAUAGUUCUACAAAUGUUGCAGGAUUAGGAUACGGAGGAGAGGGAGAUCCCAACUGCUCUAGAGCAUAUCCAGAGAAGAGUGAUGGGCCAGUUGUGGAUCCCUGAAUGUUGUUCUGUACUAUUGUUGUGAACUGUCAAUGGUGGUGUGUGUGGAUUUGUCCUAGCUCAACAAUCUCUGUCGUGUGGAUUUGUUGUAGCUCAGCAAAUGCUUGUUUGGUGGCUAAUAUAAUUAGUUGCAGUCAUUGUUUUCCAUGUACGUAGAUUGCGUGUUGUGACUCUUAUUUGCAUGGAUUGUGUUUUAUUUCUUUAGAACUUUUUUAUUUUCUUAAACUUGAAUUCAGAAGUGUUGCAUUCCCAUCA